Molecule: long non-coding RNA, 1128 nt
Filed under: Anser cygnoides (Swan goose)
Lineage: Eukaryota; Metazoa; Chordata; Aves; Anseriformes; Anatidae
Description: lncRNA (ENSACDG00005016893.1)
Source: RNAcentral
GGGCCUUGCACCGGGGCCUUGCACGUGUCGCACGAGCAGGGUUUGCGCCGGGGCUUUGCACGAGCAGAUUGUGCUUGCGCGUGUUGCACGAGCAGGGUUUGCACCAGGGCUUUGCACGAGCAGCUUGCACUGUGUGUGUUGCACAAGUGUGGCUUGCACCAGGGCCUUGCACCAGGGCCUUGCAUGAGCAGCUUGUGCUUGCACGUGUUGCACAAGCACAGUUUGCACCAGGGCUUUGCACAAGCACCAUCUGCUUGAGUUGACCGUGUGUUGCACAAGUGUGGCUUGCACCAGGGCCUUGUACCAGGGCCUUGCACGUGUCGCACGAGCAGGGUUUGCGCCAGAGCUUUGCACAAGCAGUUUGUGCUUGCAUGUGUUGAACGAGCAGGGUUUGCGCCAGGGCUUUGCACAAGCAGCUUGCACUGUGUGUGUUGCACAAGUGUGGCUUGCGCCAAGGCCUUGCACCAGGGCCUUGCACGUGUCACAUGUGCAAGGUUUGUGCCGGGGCUUUGCACGAGCAGUUUGUGCCUGCGCGUGUUGCACGAACAGGGUUUGCACCAGGGCCUUGCACCGGGGCCUUGCACGUGUCACAUGAGCAAGGUUUGCACUGGGGGGGGCUUUGCACGAGCAGCUUGUGCUUGUGUGUGUUGCAUGAGAAGGGUUUGCACCAGGGCCUUGCACCAGGGCCUUGCACUGGGGCCUUGCACGUGUCGCAUGAGCAAGGUUUGCACCAGGGCCUUGCAUGAGCAGAUUGUGCUUGCACUUGUUGCACAAGCAGGGCCUUGCGCCAGGGCCUUGCACCAGGGCCUUGCACCAGGGCCUUGCAUGUCUCACACGAGCAAGGUGUGCACCAGGGCUUUGCACGAGCAGUUUGUGCUUGCACGUGUUGCACGAGCAAGGUGUGCACCAGGGCCUUGCACGAGCAGCUUGUCCCUGUGCUGUCCACGUGUCGCACGAGUGCGUCUCGCACCGGGGCCUUGCACGAGCACCCCGCUCUGCGCCACGUGAGCGUGCGCAGCCCCCUGCUCUUGCACGAGCACCGUGCCCGCCCGUGCGAGACACACCUUGCACGCCCGGGGGGGGCUUUGCACAUUGAGCCCCCCCCCCCUUUUUGUGUGUCCCCCCCCC